GUGGGGAAUAUUGCACAAUGGGCGCAAGCCUGAUGCAGCGACGCCGCGUGGAGGAUGAAGGCUUUCGGGUCGUAAACUCCUGUCUGGGGGGAUGAAUACUGACAGUACCCCCGGAGGAAGCCCCGGCUAACUACGUGCCAGCAGCCGCGGUAAUACGUAGGGGGCGAGCGUUGUCCGGAAUUACUGGGCGUAAAGCGCGCGCAGGUGGCUUGUUAAGUCAGGUGUCAAAAUGCGGGGCUCAACCCCGUACCGCACUUGAAACUGGCAGGCUUGAGUGCAGGAGAGGGAAGUGGAAUUCCUAGUGUAGCGGUGAAAUGCGUAGAUAUUAGGAGGAACACCAGUGGCGAAGGCGACUUCCUGGACUGUAACUGACACUGAGGCGCGAAAGCUAGGGGAGCAAACAGG
RNAcentral lists this ribosomal RNA (405 nucleotides) under bacterium. RNAcentral's name for it is "bacterial SSU rRNA". It matches the Rfam family "Bacterial small subunit ribosomal RNA", at positions 354 to 776 of the family's 1533-position model. The record is from RNAcentral.